This 466-nucleotide ribosomal RNA is filed under the name uncultured bacterium. Its description in RNAcentral is "partial 16S ribosomal RNA". It matches the Rfam family "Bacterial small subunit ribosomal RNA", at positions 28 to 507 of the family's 1533-position model. The record is from RNAcentral.
GAUGAACGCUGGCGGCGUGCUUAACACAUGCAAGUCGAACGAUGAAGCCCAGCUUGCUGGGUGGUUUAGUGGCGAACGGGUGAGUAACACGUGAGUAACCUGCCCUUAACUCUGGGAUAAGCCUGGGAAACUGGGUCUAAUACCGGAUAGGAGCGCCUACCGCAUGGUGGGUGUUGGAAAGAUUUAUCGGUUUUGGAUGGACUCGCGGCCUAUCAGCUUGUUGGUGAGGUAAUGGCUCACCAAGGCGACGCCGGGUAGCCGGCCUGAGAGGGUGACCGGCCACACUGGGACUGAGACACGGCGCAGACUCCUACGGGAGGCAGCAGUGGGGAAUAUUGCACAAUGGGCGCGAGCCUGAUGCAGCGACGCCGCGUGAGGGAUGACGGCCUUCGGGUUGUAAACCUCUUUCAGUAGGGAAGAAGCGAAAGUGACGGUACCUGCAGAAGAAGCACCGGCUAACUACGUG